AUUGGAGAGCUUGCUUUCCAUGAGAGUGGCGCACGGGUGCGUAACACGUAUGUAACCUACCUUCGUCAGGGGGAUAGCCUCUCGAAAGAGAGAUUAAGACCGCAUAACAUUACAAUGUGGCAUCACAAAGUAAUCAAAUAUUUAUAGGACGAAGAUGGGCAUGCGGAACAUUAGCUAGUUGGUAAGGUAACGGCUUACCAAGGCUACGAUGUUUAGGGGAUCUGAGAGGAUGACCCCCCACACUGGUACUGAGACACGGACCAGACUCCUACGGGAGGCAGCAGUAAGGAAUAUUGGUCAAUGGGCGGAAGCCUGAACCAGCCAUGCCGCGUGCAGGAAGACGGCCCUACGGGUUGUAAACUGCUUUUGUACGGGAAUAAACCUUAGUAUGUAUACUAAGCUGAAUGUACUGUAAGAAUAAGGAUCGGCUAACUCCGUGCCAGCAGCCGCGGUAAUACGGAGGAUCCAAGCGUUAUCCGGAUUUAUUGGGUUUAAAGGGUGCGUAGGUGGUUCUUUAAGUCAGGGGUGAAAGACGGCAGCUUAACUGUCGCAGUGCCUUUGAUACUGAAGAACUUGAAUGAACUAGAGGUAGGCGGAAUGUGACAAGUAGCGGUGAAAUGCAUAGAUAUGUCACAGAACACCAAUUGCGAAGGCAGCUUACUAUGGUUUGAUUGACACUGAGGCACGAAAGCGUGGGGAUCAAACAGGAUUAGAUACCCUGGUAGUCCACGCCCUAAACGAUGAAUACUCGAUGUUGGCGAUAUACGGUCAGCGUCUAAGCGAAAGCGUUAAGUAUUCCACCUGGGGAGUACG
RNAcentral lists this ribosomal RNA (813 nucleotides) under uncultured Sphingobacteriia bacterium. RNAcentral's name for it is "bacterial SSU rRNA". It matches the Rfam family "Bacterial small subunit ribosomal RNA", at positions 70 to 884 of the family's 1533-position model. Lineage: Bacteria; Pseudomonadati; Bacteroidota; Sphingobacteriia. The record is from RNAcentral.